This is a long non-coding RNA of Gallus gallus (chicken), 1756 nucleotides long. NCBI's taxonomy places the organism in Eukaryota, Metazoa, Chordata, Aves, Galliformes, Phasianidae. The record is from Ensembl.
UAUUAUUAUUAUUAUUAUUAUUAUUAUUUUAGCUUUCCUGAACUCUCGACCUAUUAAAAAAAAAUCAAUUCCUAUCCGAGAUAAAACAUGAACUGAACGUGAGCCAAUCUCUGCUGCUAAAAGAAACUCCCAGACCCGGAUCACCCCCCGUCCCCCACACCUUCUCCCCAUUGCCGAGGCUGCCACAACCCGGCAGCAUUCCCAUCGCUCAGCCAUCCACUCAUUCAGGUUGGGACCUCCAGCCCACCCCCACCGUGCUGUGUCAGCGCUGCGCCUCCGUGCUCCUCAGCACAUCCGGAUUACCCCCAAGGACACAUUCGGCAGUGACACCUGCGGUGCAUUUAGGACCCAUCUUUUCCUGGAUACAGUUUAAAUGUCUCAGAACCCACUUGUGAAAGCCCUGUGCUAACGAGGCUCGGCCCAUCCGUGCUGCUCACCUGAUGGGGAAACGCAGUGGUCUGUCACACUCAUCUAUAAUAACGGAUUUUUAUCUGCAGUUAUGGGGUUUUCUCACUCUUAAUUGCAGUGAGUGAAGAGCUGUUUUCCAUAGCGCCGUGCGCUGUGUUACCCUAUGAAUUAUAAACCUUUCUUUCGAGCUUAGCAGCCAUUCCAACAGCAACCCAAGCUACAACUUCAGCCUCUUUUGAGCUCAGGAGGGAUUCCUCUGCUCACACCGGUGCUGAGCCAGGAGGACUUCCCAGCAGCAAUGGGACAGGACGGGGCACCCCGCUGUCCCCACACCCCAGCCCCACACACGGCCCUGAGCGGGGGCUGCCCUCCCCCCGGCUUUUUGGAAGGGAAAUGAAAAAAAGCAAAAAAAAAAAAGAAUGCUUAAAGCUGCUGCGCUCUGCCCUUUUCCUUUCCACUUUGGAAGCCUUUUUAACGUGCAGUUUUCCAGCAAUUUGAAGGAAAAUUGCCCUGAAAGAAUGAAACAAAACCAAACGGAAAAAAAAAAAUCUGCCUUAUUUUUUCCAGCAAACCCCCCUGUGCCACACAAGCAGCUGCAGAGAAUUUCUCUUCCAAACAGAUGAUGUAAUGGGCUUUGUCAGCCAACGCUGUAGUGAAUAAAAACCUAGACCCUAAAAUCAUCCGAGCUAUUGAUGAAGCCCAUAAGCGUGGAAAGAUUUGUAGGAGGAGGCCUGAGGGGAAGGCAGCUCUCGCAGGGCUUCCCUCAGACCGUGAGCCCAGCCCUCCUCGGUGCUCCUGGUGCAAAACGGAGCGGGGUCCUGACCUGCAAAGGGCGAGCGAUCAGCUCCAGCACACAUCAACCCUGGGUGGAAGCUGUGGCUGCGUCCCAGCUGGAGCGCACCCACCUCCACCGCAGCAGCACGCGCAUCCAAGCAGCUCCCUUGUGGUUGUGGAGCAGCAUCCAGAGGGAUCCCCGCAGCGAGGGUGAAGGCAGAGAGCUGCUGCCAUCAGAGCCUUCCCUCCCUGCCGUUGCUUUCAUCUUCCCGAGGGAAAAGCAAACAGAGGGGAACCAGAAAGCUUUGUGGCUACGAAGUCUCACAUCUGGUUUUAGCUCCAUGAGACGUACUCCCACCCCCUCCUUGAAUCAUUAAUGUUAAACAAACAGAACCCCGGUGAUUUUUCUGGAUUUCAGUGCUUGGACCCCUUACGAGCAGCUUUUGCUGCGAAUCCCACGAUUGCCCUCACCUCCAUCCCUAAGGAAAGCAACGCACCCCUCUUGGCAGGGAGGGAGAUGCUGCCAAAUGGCACAACUCCAUGGCUCCGGCACCGCAGGACGAGCAGCAACCCC